Molecule: ribosomal RNA, 253 nt
Filed under: uncultured bacterium
Lineage: Bacteria
Description: partial 16S ribosomal RNA
Rfam family: Bacterial small subunit ribosomal RNA
Source: RNAcentral
UACGGGGGGGGCAAGCGUUGUUCGGAAUUACUGGGCGUAAAGGGCUCGUAGGCGGCCAACUAAGUCAGACGUGAAAUCCCUCGGCUUAACCGGGGAACUGCAUCUGAUACUGGAUGGCUUGAGAUUGGGAGAGGGAUGCGGAAUUCCAGGUGUAGCGGUGAAAUGCGUAGAUAUCUGGAGGAACACCGGUGGCGAAGGCGGCAUUCUGGGCAGUUGCUGACGCUGAGGCGCGACAGCGUGGGGAGCAAACAGG